RNAcentral lists this ribosomal RNA (253 nucleotides) under uncultured bacterium. Its description in RNAcentral is "partial 16S ribosomal RNA". It matches the Rfam family "Bacterial small subunit ribosomal RNA", at positions 524 to 776 of the family's 1533-position model. The record is from RNAcentral.
UACGUAGGGUGCGAGCGUUGUCCGGAAUUAUUGGGCGUAAAGAGCUUGUAGGCGGUCUGUCGCGUCUGCUGUGAAAAUCCGGGGCUCAACCCCGGACUUGCAGUGGGUACGGGCAGACUAGAGUGUGGUAGGGGAGACUGGAAUUCCUGGUGUAGCGGUGAAAUGCGUAGAUAUUGGGAAGAACACCUGAGGCGAAGGCGGGUUGCUGGGCUGACACUGACGCUGAGGCGCGAAAGCCAGGGGAGCGAACGGG